This 1297-nucleotide long non-coding RNA is filed under the name Gallus gallus (chicken). Lineage: Eukaryota; Metazoa; Chordata; Aves; Galliformes; Phasianidae. The record is from RNAcentral.
CUGGACGUUCCUAGUUCUUGAAUUGCCUAAAGGAACACAAGCAAUGCAGAGAAAGAAAGAAAGAACGAAAGAAAAAGAACAACAACACCUGACGCAAUCUUCCACUUGGAAAGGGCCUCCAACGAUCCCUGGUAUCCUCUGAGAGCUCUGAGCUGCCACACCAAUUUGAAGCUGACUUCAUUUUUGGUCUUCCCCUUCAGCAGAAAAGCUCAGACAGCCGAGCCAAGCGAGACGCUGGAUUUCCUUUGGCAUCAAGGAAAGCAUCGUGAGAUGUUCUGAUGCCCUCUCACAAUUCUUUCUCCCUCCGCCAGCACCAGAGCUGGCGUCCAAAGACGCAAUGACACUGCCACAGGCAUUGUGGAGAUUUCUAUGGGAUAGGCCCAUGGUAAGGCUUUAUUGACAGAGGGAGGGACAAUGAAGAUUGGAUGUCAGGGAGAAGGUCUUUCCAGAGACGGUGGUGAGAUGCUGGAAGCGGAUGCCCAGAGAGCUUGUGGACGCCGCGUCCGUGGCAGUGUUGAAGGCCAGGUUGGAUUGGGCCACUCGGCAGCCUAGUCUAGGAUUAGAUAUGAUGCAGAUGGGAUUCACGCAUCUGUUUUGCAGCCAGCUCGAGUGGAGGUCUUGGAGCUCAUGGGCGUCCCAUGCCCGCAUCAGCGUGGGUAGGGUGUGCCCUUCCUGCGCGGUGGGGCUUUGGUGUCCGGGGGCUGACGCUGAGGAGACUGUGUUUCUUCGUUUAUCGGUGGCAGAAAUCCAGCUCUGUCAGCAGAGGACUCCUGCGGCUGGCUGGCCUCAGCCUGAGAUGUUGAUGCUGCCAUCUCCUCAGAUUCUUUCUGCCUGCUCUUCUUAGCCCUGCGCCUGAGAAGUCUGACUGAGUCGCAUGCCAGAAGUGGCAGCCGGGAUGGAGUGCCUUGCGAUGCCUGCGACGGGCUGGACUGAGCCCUUGAGGAAGGUCUGGAAUCGUUGCUGAAAGAUUCCUUGGCUUUGGGCAACUUCAGCACUGCAGCCACACGAUGGGCUUUUUCCGCUUCCCGUUCUUCCUCACGGAAGCUCACGUGUUUGGUUCCUGGGGCUCGGCCCAGGUCUUCUUGGCUGUCUGUUUCUGCCUGGCCCUGCAGCUGGCAGGUCAGUGGCUGCUUUUGGUCUUCAGGCACUCCAGGGAUGGCUGGCAGCAGACUGAAAGGACAGAGCGGGAGGGGUCCGCCUGAGUGGGUGAUGGUUUUGGGGCUGCGUCCUGCAAGCCGGAGCCAGGACCCUUGGCUGCAACGCAGCCUUCCCCACAGACAGCUCAGCAGCUGCCCCG